GUGCUCGCUUCAGCAAUACAUAUAAUAACAUUGGGACAAUAUGGUGAAGAUUAGCAUGGCCCCUGUGCAAGGAUGACACACAAAUUCACGAAGCGUUCCGUAUUUUU
Manis pentadactyla (Chinese pangolin) is the source of this 107-nucleotide small nuclear RNA. Lineage: Eukaryota; Metazoa; Chordata; Mammalia; Pholidota; Manidae. The record is from RefSeq and is a predicted model, not a curated record.